UGGGGAAUAUUGGACAAUGGGCGCAAGCCUGAUCCAGCCAUGCCGCGUGAGUGAAGAAGGCCUUCGGGUUGUAAAGCUCUUUUACCAGGGACGAUAAUGACGGUACCUGGAGAAUAAGCCCCGGCAAACUUCGUGCCAGCAGCCGCGGUAAUACGAAGGGGGCUAGCGUUGUUCGGAAUUACUGGGCGUAAAGCGCACGUAGGCGGAUUGUUAAGUCAGAGGUGAAAUCCCGGAGCUCAACUUCGGAACUGCCUUUGAUACUGGCAAUCUAGAGUCCGGAAGAGGUUAGUGGAAUUCCCAGUGUAGAGGUGAAAUUCGUAGAUAUUGGGAAGAACACCAGUGGCGAAGGCGGCUAACUGGUCCGGUACUGACGCUGAGGUGCGAAAGCGUGGGGAGCGAACAGGAUUAGAUACCCGGGUAGUCCCUGAG
Molecule: ribosomal RNA, 429 nt
Filed under: uncultured bacterium
Lineage: Bacteria
Description: bacterial SSU rRNA
Rfam family: Bacterial small subunit ribosomal RNA
Source: RNAcentral